This 489-nucleotide ribosomal RNA is filed under the name uncultured bacterium. RNAcentral describes it as "partial 16S ribosomal RNA". It matches the Rfam family "Bacterial small subunit ribosomal RNA", at positions 30 to 507 of the family's 1533-position model. The record is from RNAcentral.
AUUGAACGCUGGCGGCAGGCCUAACACAUGCAAGUCGAACGGUAACAGAAAGCAGCUUGCUGCUUUGCUGACGAGUGGCGGACGGGUGAGUAAUGUCUGGGAAACUGCCUGAUGGAGGGGGAUAACUACUGGAAACGGUAGCUAUACCGCAUAACGUCGCAAGACCAAAGAGGGGGACCUUCGGGCCUCUUGCCAUCGGAUGUGCCCAGAUGGGAUUAGCUAGUAGGUGGGGUAACGGCUCACCUAGGCGACGAUCCCUAGCUGGUCUGAGAGGAUGACCAGCCACACUGGAACUGAGACACGGUCCAGACUCCUACGGGAGGCAGCAGUGGGGAAUAUUGCACAAUGGGCGCAAGCCUGAUGCAGCCAUGCCGCGUGUAUGAAGAAGGCCUUCGGGUUGUAAAGUACUUUCAGCGGGGAGGAAGGGAGUAAAGUUAAUACCUUUGCUCAUUGACGUUACCCGCAGAAGAAGCACCGGCUAACUCCGUG